GACUCGGCUUUCGCGGGGGCUGCUGGGGCGUGGACAUCGGGGACGCGCAGGGGCGCGAGCGGCUAGGAGGACGCGCUUCUUUGGUCGCGCGCGCCGCAACCCGGGCCCUGAGUGGAACCCGAAGACGCACGAGGGAGGACCGGGUCGAGCAUGAAGAGGCAGGGGGCCUCCUCCGAGCGGAAACGGGCGCGGAUGCCGUCCGGGAAGGCCGGAGCAGCGAAUGGAUUUCUCAUGGAAGUGUGUGUUGAUUCAGUGGAGUCAGCUGUAAAUGCAGAAAGAGGAGGUGCUGGUCGGAUUGAAUUAUGUUCUGGCUUAUUGGAAGGAGGAACCACACCCAGCAUGGGUGUCCUUCAGGUAGUGAAGCAAUGUGUCCAGAUCCCAGUUUUUGUGAUGAUUCGGCCACGUGGAGGUGAUUUUUUAUAUUCAGAUCGUGAAGUUGAGGUGAUGAAGGCUGACAUUCGUCUUGCCAAGCUUUAUGGUGCUGAUGGUUUGGUAUUUGGGGCAUUGACUGAAGAUGGACACAUUGACAAAGAGCUGUGCAUGUCCCUCGUGGCUAUUUGCCGUCCUCUGCCAGUCACUUUCCACCGAGCCUUUGACAUGGUUCGUGACCCAGUGGCAGCUCUAGAGACCCUCUUAACUUUGGGAUUUGAACGAGUAUUGACCAGUGGAUGUGACAGUUCGGCACUAGAAGGGCUACCCCUAAUAAAGCGACUCAUAGAUCAGGCAAAAGGCAGGAUUGUGGUAAUGCCAGGGGGUGGCAUAACAGAAAGAAAUCUACAAAGGAUCCUUGAGGGUUCAGGGGCUACAGAAUUCCACUGUUCUGCUCGGUCUGCUAGAGAUUCAGGAAUGAAGUUUCGAAAUUCCUGUGUUGCCAUGGGAGCCUCUCUUUCUAGCUCAGAAUAUUCUCUAAAGGUAACAGAUGUGACCCAAGUAAGGACUUUGAAUGCUAUUGCAAAGAAUAUUCUGGUUUAGCCAGACUUCUGAGAGACAUGGAUAUCACAGGUAAAGGUAGAAGAGUAGUCUACAAUUCUCUAUGACACAGCUUUAACUUACUUCUCUGGCAAGGACAGUCACAAUCUUUGUCUUAAGUCUCACAUGGCCAUGGAGAAUGUUUCCAAGAAGAAAAAGAACUUGAAACAGAGCUACAGUCACUUCCUUUGCUUAAUCUUGCCAGCCAUCUCUCCAUCAUCAUGGUUAAAUCUGGUCUAUGUGUCUUCCACAGAUAGAGGCUUACUCUGUUUUCAGUGGAAUUAGUUGAUGAACUGGGAAAAUUCAACUGCAAGGUUAGCUUUCUAGUCUCAGUCUUUGAUAGUUUAAAAGUCCAACCCAGGAAGCCAGGCAUUGAUUAUUGAAGCCAACACUUUGUGCUCUCCACUAUGUGAAUAUAAAAGAAGCAUAAGAAAUUGACAAGAUGACCCUAAAGUUCAUCUGGAAAUGCAAGGGACCCAGAAUAGCCAAACAAUCUUGAAAAAGAACAAAGUUGGAGGACUCACAUUUCUCGAUUUCAAAACAUAGUACAAAACUACAGUAAUCAAGACAAUGUGGUAUUGGCAUAAAGGUGAAUAUAUAGCAAUAUAUUCAGUUGCAUAUAAAUGUAUGUGCAAUUCUCAGUGCAAUAGAAUUGAGAGUCCAGAAAUAAACCCUUAUAUUAUAGUCAGUUGAUUCUUGAAAGGGUGCCAAGAUAAUUAACUGGGAAAAGAAUAGUUUUUAAACAAAUGGUGCUGGUCAACUGGAUAUCCACAUGCAAAAGAAUGAAGUUGGACCUUGCCUCACAUCAUGUACAAAAAUUAACUCAAAUGGAUCAUAGACCUAAAUAAAAGCUAAAAGAUAAAACUCUUAGAAGAAAAUAGGAGUAAAUCUUUGUAACCGUGGGUUAGGCAAAGCCUUAGAUAUGACACCAAAAGCACAAGUGACAAAAGAAAAAAUGGGUAAAUUGGACUUCGUCAAAAUUAAAAACCUAUGCUCAAAGGAUAAGAUCAAGACAGUGAAAAGACAACCCACAGAAUAGGAGGAAAUAUUUGCAAAUCAUAUGUCUGAUUCAUGGGGUCAUAUCCAGCCUGUAUAAAGAAUACUUAGAGCUCAGCAAUAAAAAGACAACCUAGUUUUAAAAUGGGCAAAGGAUUUGAGUAGACGUUUCUCUGAAGAAGGUAGACAGUUGGCCAAGAAGCAUAUGAAAAAGUGCUCAACAUCAUUAAUCAUUAGGGAAAUGCAAAUCAAAACCCCACUGAGAUAACCAUUUCAUACCCACUAAGAUGACUAUAACCCAAAAGGCUGACACUACCAAGUGUUGACAAGGAUGUGGCACAACCAAAACUUUCAUAUACUGCUAGUGGGAAUGUAAAACAGUGGAGCUGCUUUGUAAAAUAGCCUGGGAAUUUCUCAAAUGUUAAACAUAGAGUUGCUAUGUGACCCAGCAGUUCCACUCCUAGGUAUAUACCCUAAAGAACGGAAAACAUAUGUCCACACAAAAACUUGUACACCGAUGUUUGUAGCAACAUUAUUCAUCUUUUAGAAUUAGAGAAUAACCAUUUUGCAGCCCCUAAUGAAAUAAAUCAGUCAAAGAUCAUUAAUGCUAAAACCAUUUGGUGAAAAGUAGAUUGGAAGCUAAGUAUCCACAUGGUGCCAAAGUAUCAUCUUGUAGAUUACUUGCUAGUCAUUAAUGUAGAAAUUUGAUGUUAAAAUGCAGCUAUCUGGUUGUUACCACCUCAACCCAGUAAUCAAAUUUAAUAUUACUAGCAGUGGAAGCGUAUACUGCUGAAGGAAAGGAUUUGAGGGGGAAGAGAUCAGCCAGAGGCUGUAACCUGUGUUAGGAAACCAGUUUAGAGGUUGUUAAUGUGUCUCAAGGAAGAGCUAAGAGUUGAACCACCUGGAAAGCUGCUGUAACAAAGUGUGAUGGUUAGCUAUGGAUCAAGCAAGUGUGAACUGCAAACACCACCAGCUCAUAGGGUGACCAACCAUCCCAGUUUGCCUGAAACUUCCAAUUUUAGCAUUGAAAGUCCCGUAUCCUAGGAAAUUCCUCAGUUGCCUGGUAAACUGGGAAAGUUUGGUCAUCCUACCAGCUCAGUAAAAUUGGCUUUGCCUCUUUUCCCCUGAUCCUCACCUCCUUGCCCUAAUCCUGGAAUUGGGGGUGGGGGGAGGGGAAUAUAUUGAGUAACAAGGAAAAAUGAUAAAAGGGAUGACAUUUCCCUCACCAGUGGUAGCUGGUCCCUGAGCUAAGAAAGGAGGGGGGCUUUAAAUGGAUGUGAGUUUCUUUUGUGGAUGAUAAAAAUGUUCGAAAAUUGAUUAUAGUGAUGGUUGCACAACGCUGAAUAUGCUAAAAAUCAUUGGAUUGUACACUUUAAGUGGGUGAAUUGUAUGUGAUUUAUAUCUCAAUAAAGCUGUUUUUUAAAAAAAUGCAUGUGAGAGAGUUUUAAAUUAGAUUAGAUCAGCCUGGACCUUUUAAUACCUAAAAGAGACCCAAAGGCUAUAGGAUCUGCUUGAGAUGUGCUCAAGGGCAAGGAAUGGGGUUUGAUGUAGCAUGGUUGAACACAAUGGUGGAAGCAAAAUAUUUUUUCUUAUUUGUUUUCUAUUUGGUUUACAUCUCUCAGUGAGUUGGCUAUACUAGUUUCUUUUUUUUUAUUGAGU
Molecule: RNA transcript, 3624 nt
Organism: Equus caballus (horse)
Lineage: Eukaryota; Metazoa; Chordata; Mammalia; Perissodactyla; Equidae
Gene: CUTC
Gene name: cutC copper transporter
Source: RefSeq, a predicted model, not a curated record